GAUGAAGAACGCAGUGAAAUGCGAUAAGUAGUGUGAAUUGCAGAAUUCAGUGAAUCAUCGAAUCUUUGAACGCACAUUGCGCCCCUUGGUAUCCCGAGGGGCAUGCCUGUUCGAGCGUCAUUUCACCACUCAAGCCUGGCUUGGUGUUGGGCGACGUCCCCUUUGGGGACGCGCCUCGAAACGCUCGGCGGCGUGGCACCGGCUUUAAGCGUAGCAGAAUCUUUCGCUUUGGAAGUCGGGGCCCCGUCUGCCGGAAGACCUGCUCGCAAGGUUGACCUCGGAUCAGGCAGGGAUACCCGCUGAACUUAAGCAUAUCAAUAAGCGGAGGA
This 329-nucleotide unclassified non-coding RNA is filed under the name soil metagenome. RNAcentral's name for it is "partial contains 5.8S ribosomal RNA, internal transcribed spacer 2, and large subunit ribosomal RNA". The stretch from base 1 to 120 matches the Rfam family "5.8S ribosomal RNA", at positions 35 to 154 of the family's 154-position model. The record is from RNAcentral.